AGCGAACGCUGGCGGCGUGCCUAACACAUGCAAGUCGAGCGCGGGCAUUUCGGGGGUAACCCGGGACUGUGCUGAGCGGCGGACGAGUGAGUAAUACGUGGACAACCUGCCUUAAAGCUUGGGAGUAACUCCGGGAAACUGGAGCUAAUACCGGAUAAGACCACGGUGUCUAUGGAUGCUGAGGUAAAAGGCGGCCAGGAAACUGGCUGUUGCUUAAAGAUGGGUCCACGUCCCAUCAGGUAGUUGGUGAGGU
RNAcentral lists this ribosomal RNA (253 nucleotides) under uncultured bacterium. Its description in RNAcentral is "partial 16S ribosomal RNA". It matches the Rfam family "Bacterial small subunit ribosomal RNA", at positions 29 to 258 of the family's 1533-position model. The record is from RNAcentral.